RNAcentral lists this long non-coding RNA (1039 nucleotides) under Sarcophilus harrisii (Tasmanian devil). RNAcentral's name for it is "lncRNA (ENSSHAG00000022461.1)". Lineage: Eukaryota; Metazoa; Chordata; Mammalia; Dasyuromorphia; Dasyuridae. The record is from RNAcentral.
GGAGUCUCUUCUGAUCAAUCAUGGGUACUUUCAAGAGGCAGGAGAAGAAAUCUUGAGGUCCCAAGGCUGGAUUUCAGGGGAGUAUGUACUGAAAGCAGAAACAAACCAUGUAAGGGAGAUGUCCAGAAGAAAUCUGAAUUUUAACAUCACACAGACUAUAAAUUUCUAAGGGUAAAUAUAUAAUAGAGACUGGCAUAGGAAAUACCUACAUAUGGGAAAUUCUUUUUAUCAAUUCAAGUUGGUACUUGCUUGGAAAUUUAUAGUCUUAGAAAAUUGUUUGCCCACGACUGCAGAGUUUCUGCGUAUCAGGGGCAGGACAUGCCGACUUUGACACGGGCUCUACAUCACCAUACCACAGGAACAUGGCCUUUUAUUGGUGGCUUCAUUUAAAAUUCCAGUACCUCAUAUAACAUUUUACAAAAUCCUUUGCAAAAAGGAUUUCUCUGCAUCCAUGGAUGGGCAAGUGUAUAGGUAGUUGGUGAAUGCAUGUUGCUUUUUAUCCCUUACCUUCCCAUUAAGUCCCCAUCUCUCUGCCUUCAUUCUCAAGCAGUCUGGACAGAGGACAUAUUGAUCAAUGACAGGAAGGUCAAGAUCAGACAUGUUUUCAUUUGGAUAUGAUUGUGCUGCCUACAAGGAGAAAGAGACCAGCAAUCGGGAAAGAGGGCAAGGUAGUCAGAAGGACUCCUCUCUUACUAAAACAAGGGAGAUUAAGCUUUUUGGAUACUUCUGGAAGGCCAGAGGUGAGAAGGGUAAGUGUGUUUCAUUACUAGUUCUCUGGAAUCAUGAUUCUAACUCUAAAUGAAUACCUCCUGACUCUUAAAAAUGUGCCUCCUAACCAUAACCCUAACCCUAAAUACCUCUCAAAUCUAACCUUUUGAGUUUUUCAGAAUUUUUUUCCAUAUUGAUAAUUAUUACAGGGAUGGUUUUGAUUUUAUUCACUUCACUCUGUAAAAAUUCCCAGAUAUCUCUGAAACCAUCUCUUCAUCUCUUAUAGGACAAUAACAUCCUGUUACAUUUAUAUAUCAUAAUUCACCUUGCC